AGGAGCCGUGCGAGAUGAAAGUCUGAUGCACGGUUUUGAAUGAGAGAAAGAAGUGAGGAAUCCUCUUUUCGACUCUGAC
Non-coding RNA from Cucumis melo (muskmelon), 79 nucleotides. Lineage: Eukaryota; Viridiplantae; Streptophyta; Magnoliopsida; Cucurbitales; Cucurbitaceae. The record is from Rfam.